ACCAUCCUUUUUUGGGGGUUUGUGCUACGGUCCGAUGAGCGCAUAGUGAGGGCAGUACUGUUAACACCUACACGACACGCUCACAUCAACUAGAGCUUCGCUUUUAUUGGUGCAGUUUUUGGAAAA
Small nuclear RNA from Otolemur garnettii (small-eared galago), 126 nucleotides. The record is from Ensembl. Lineage: Eukaryota; Metazoa; Chordata; Mammalia; Primates; Galagidae.